UACCCCCUGCAAUGGGCCAAGAGACACCCUGUGGGUAAUGGUGUUCUCACAUCGGUCAGGGCAGAGCAGCUGGCAGUCCUCUGUUCAUCCUAGCUUGAUGCCUGGCUUGGUGGCCAAAGCUCUCUUAUGCCUAGGACACAUAA
Molecule: small nucleolar RNA, 143 nt
Organism: Apodemus sylvaticus (European woodmouse)
Lineage: Eukaryota; Metazoa; Chordata; Mammalia; Rodentia; Muridae
Product: small nucleolar RNA SNORA48
Exons: 1
Source: RefSeq, a predicted model, not a curated record